GGCCUUAUUCGCUUAUGUAUCCAUUUGUUUGUUCGUAAUUGUGUUGAAUUUAUUCAGGUUAAAUGUGUAUAAAAGCAAAACCGUUUCUUAUUGGCCUCAUUCACUCAUGCCUCUCUGUUCAUUUAUGAUUGUGUUGAAUUUAUUCAGGUUAAACGUGUCUUAUUCAUGCAGUUACGCUUGAAACAGUGGUUCCCGCUGCAACGCGCGGGCUUAUUUUCUAGUAUAUACUAAAAUCCAGUUUCCCCCGGCACUGUUCACCAGCAGUGAAAGGGCGAAACUGCCCUCGGAUUCUUCUUUGCUUGCAGUUGUCUUUUGCUAUUUUGUGCAGUGAAAAGUCCGUUUUGGCCCUCAUGGCCACGCGUCUGUCAUCGUUCAGUUUAUGCGUCGAAUAGGUUUUCGUUGGUUUACCAUUUGCUUUGUGUCGAAUAGGUUUUCGUUGGUUUACCAUUUGCUUUGCCUUUUGUGUGUCGGCAAUCUCUGCUUCUCUCCAUCUUGGUAUCGCCUUCAUUUCGUCUGAAAUCCUGUGUUUUUCGUCUUGCAAAAUAUUCAUCGCAAAGAUCGUCGUGUUCUUUUUUUUUGGGGAGUUUGUUUGGGUUCUCUGUUUUGAGACAAGUUUUGCAUCUCUGUAAAUCGUUUCUCCCCAAUUGUCAUCGGCUUUCCGACCAAUUUUUGGUCCGGUCUGGGUGCGAUCUUUGUUCAGAUCAUCGUAAUUUUUUUUUAUUUAACUCAGUUUGUCGAGGCUUUGUCGGCUAAGAGCAGAUUUUGCAUUUGGUUUACUCCGCUGAUAAAUCUGAGAUUUAACAGGAGUUCGAAGGCUACUGUUGGUUUGGGAUGAAAAAGAGAUUCUUUGCAAGCAUCACACAAAGGCCAUCAUUUAUUCCGUUUUCCAAGUGUACAAGGAGGUUGCUGGGUUGAGUUCGGUUACACAGAUAACGCUGCAGUAUACCAUACAAAGGUUUUUUUUUCUUUCCUUUUGCCCCUUUUUUGGGAUAUUGGUUACAAAAUCUGUUUUGAGCAUAGGUGUGAAAAUUGCAGUAGGGGUUAGUAAGUUAAUUAGUUAAUUUCAUUCUCAAUGUGCACAAAUGUUGUUCCUGCUUUAAUUCAUUUUCUUUGUAUCGAAAUUGAAUAAUCUAAUUCUCCUUGAUAUCCACUUAUUCUGCUAAGAUAUGCAAUACAAAUAUCUGCUAUCUCCUACCUGUAAACGUAUGACUUAAAAUCAUUUCAUUGACAAAUUGUGCCCAUGGUCUUGAUUUAUUUUUGAAAAGUUGUUUCUGAUUUUAGUUGUUAAAGUCAAUAAUCAAUUCUGCUUAGAUUUUUUGGUAGCGUAAGUGCGUCUACACUCAUCCCUAAUCUUGCACACACAUUAAUCUCUGUCACAUUGGUGAACUAUGGUAUUGUUUGUUUUAAUUAAUAGCCACCGAACUAGAUAUAUCUGAUCCAUCUUUUUUCCCGUAUCAUAUCACUUUUAAACCUGUUUGAUUGAAUUCUGCCAUUUACACCAAAAUACCUAAACAAUGACAUCAAAUUUUGAAGUAAAAAAUCUAAUAACUUUACUAAUUUUCAGUUUCAUUCAAUGACACUUCCUUUUCAAUUACUUUAAUUUUAACAUAUUUCACUUUCUUUAGAAUCAACCAAUACUUUUUCUUACGUCACCAAACAAUUAUACCUUAUUAUAUCCAAUUUGUAUUUAUGUUGUUUCUCUCAUGCUCUAUCACAAUAUAUCAGUUACUUUAAUAAAUUUAGUUCUAAACGUUUUCAACAUAGAUGAUCUUACAAAACUCACUGAUGUACUUAUCUAAUUUUUAAGUUUUCAGUAUUUUUAAUGAAUAGUUUGGUAUUUAGGCAGCUUCGAUCUUUGAUUUCAAAUAUGUGAUUUUGUCUAAUUCUUUCUGAUCCUCAAUUUCUAUUGUCGUAAUGGACAUUCUUGAAUCACAUUGGUUAACACCAAACAAAUGGUAUGUGUCAUAUUUCUCUUUUUCUAUUCCUUUACUUUUAUACAGAGUUUUGUUUGAAUGUCAUCAUUUUCACAAGCCCUUAUACACCCUUGAUUCAAACUUCAUCAUUCUUUAAAUAUCUUUAUAUAUUAUGCUCACACGUUUUGUAAUCCCGCAGCAACGCGCGGGCACUAUUUCUAGUUAUACAUGUACUAAAACUCAGUUCGGAUGGCACUGUUUUGCACUGUUCAUAAACAGUGAAAUGUCUAAAAUGCCCUUUGUUUUUCCUCUGUUUCCUUGCUGUUUCCUCUUUUGGUGCAGUGAAAAGUUUGUUUUGCCCAUCGAUCCACGCGUCGAUCAUCGCUGUGCGUCGACUGCUUCGACUUUUUCCUUCCGUUUCCGCUUUUCUUUCUCACAAAUCGCUGCUUCUGUCUCUCUCGCUUUCUCUCGCUCUCCGACGCUGCGAUCUCAGUCAAGAAAUCUGCUUCUAUCGCUCUUUUUCGCUUUCAAAUCUCGGUUGAAGUGAUUCUACUGGUCUCAAAUUACACCAUAUUUGAGGGUGAAAAUCUAAUUCUGCAGUCGGGGAGAGCUCCCCAUUGAUUCUUUAAAAUCAGAGGGCUCCCAUAUUACCACUGUUGCAGGUACGAGUACCGGGCGUAUUUCUACGAGGUCCUCAAGGUUUACACAAAGUUAUGGAUCGCCAAACACUCCUCCCCUGUUCUCUCACGCAUCUCCAGCUCUGUCUCUUUCAUUCUUGAGGUACCUGCCGCUGUUGUCGAUCUGCAGCUGCUGCUGGAAAGAGUUUGUAUGAAUAUUUCUCUUCUGGGAGUUAUGGAGGAGUUGGGGAGGAAGAACAACCACCAAUUCAUCCAUACCUCAGCUUUCAUUCCACGAUUCCUGAAAACGUUCAUAUCGCAAUUCUUGCCCAUCCUUGAGAUUUUCUGUAUGGGUUUUGGUUCUUUUGGAUUUGGAAGAAGAUGGAGAUCGGAGUUUGUUGCUAUCAUCUAUUCAACUUAAAUUUUUGGGGAUUUGGUUUGGAUUUCUGGUGUUUGUUUUCCAGAUUUGUAAUCACUAAAGUUUCUAAACAAUGAGAUGAUGCAACUGUUCAAAGUGCUUUAUUAUUAAGGAUUGUUUUGUUGCAAAAAGCAAGGCCAAUUUGUUUAAGGCUUGAAGAUUUCUACAUUCCCCAGGUUUAUCUUCGACUUCAGGUACUUUGUUCCAUUAACAACUUAAAGUCAGCUACAACCACAGAGUUUGGUUAUGAUUGGGUAAAAUAAGCUGAUUAUCUGGAUAUUUCAUGAGGAUAUCAGUAAGGACUAUCUACCCAAUCUUUUGUGUGUAAAUAGUAUGUAAAUACACAUCAAAUAUUAUCUUUUCUGUAAAAAAUACUAUAUACAAAAAAUUUCCUACGAUUAAGGACAAUUAGGAGUUCAAUUUGUAAAAGAUGUGAAUAUUAGAACAAUGACAAUAGAACUGCCAGUCCAUAUCAUUGUAAAUAGGUUUCUAUAUGUAUGUAAAUAGUAUUGCAUAUCGUGUGUAUUUAGAACUUUCUGCAUGCUUUAUACAAUUUUAAAACCCGCAGCAUCGCGCUGGAACUA
Malus domestica (apple) is the source of this 3532-nucleotide non-coding RNA. NCBI's taxonomy places the organism in Eukaryota, Viridiplantae, Streptophyta, Magnoliopsida, Rosales, Rosaceae. The record is from RefSeq and is a predicted model, not a curated record.